RNAcentral lists this long non-coding RNA (12616 nucleotides) under Capsicum annuum. Its description in RNAcentral is "long non-coding RNA (CANN_LNC012784)". The record is from RNAcentral. Lineage: Eukaryota; Viridiplantae; Streptophyta; Magnoliopsida; Solanales; Solanaceae.
UUUUUAAUUAAUUAAAUUCUAAUCAAUAAGAAACUGUCAUGUAUUUUUUUAUAUUUUUAUUAAUUUCUACUACAUAGAAAAGGGAGUAGAGGAAGGACCAAGGUCAAAAUAAUAAUUUUACACUAAUAAAAAACACUCGCUUCACUGCUCUAGAACCAUCCAUAUUCUUCCUUUAGACCUUUCAUACAACAUCUAAACCCUGAAAUUACAUAGCUCCUUAUGGGACCUAUGCAUGUCGUCCUUGAUCAAUUCCUUAAUCUUUUCCUAAGAAUGUCCUGCUGAAAAAUCAAACUUUGACUUGGAAUCAGGAAAAUUUGCAGCUCCUUCCUAUAAAUAAGAAGAGAUGAUGAUGAAGGUUCUAAAUUCUAACAUAUAUUGACAAAUAAAAAGGAAUUCAACCAAUCAGUAAUGGAUAAUUAAGGUCUAACCUUUAAUCUAUGAGUUUUUUUUUAUGAUUUCUCUUUUUUUUUUUAAUUUUUUUUCUUUAUUUCAUACAUAUUUUUCAUUGAUUGUAAAAUCUUAAUUUCUUAANNNNNNNNNNNNNNNNNNNNNNNNNNNNNNNNNNNNNNNNNNNNNNNNNNNNNNNNNNNNNNNNCACACACACACAUAAACAUACAUAUAUAUAUAUAUAUAUAUAUAUAUAUAUAUAUAUAUAUAUAUAUAUAUGUUUGAGUAGGAAGAUGUAUUCUUUAUUUUAUUUAUUUUUCUCAUUUUGGAUCUUUCUCUUAAACAAUAAACAAAAUCUAUGCAUUUUUGAAAGAAUCUAUGAUUUUUUGAGUUUCUUUUGGCUUUUUAUUUUUGAUUUUACUUGUGAGAUGACUAAUUUAUAACAAUGACUAUACAUAUACAUAUAUAUAUAUAUAUAUAUAUAUUCAUAGCUCCUUAUGGGNNNNNNNNNNNNNNNNNNNNNNNNNNNNNNNNNNNNNNNNNNNNNNNNNNNNNNNNNNNNNNNNNNNNNNNNNNNNNNNNNNNNNNNNNNNNNNNNNNNNNNNNNNNNNNNNNNNNNNNNNNNNNNNNNNNNNNNNNNNNNNNNNNNNNNNNNNNNNNNNNNNNNNNNNNNNNNNNNNNNNNNNNNNNNNNNNNNNNNNNNNNNNNNNNNNNNNNNNNNNNNNNNNNNNNNNNNNNNNNNNNNNNNNNNNNNNNNNNNNNNNNNNNNNNNNNNNNNNNNNNNNNNNNNNNNNNNNNNNNNNNNNNNNNNNNNNNNNNNNNNNNNNNNNNNNNNNNNNNNNNNNAUAUCAUACAGUGAAAGGAGCUCCUAACAAGUUCUCCUUUCAAGAUUGUGGUGAAAUUAUGAAAAGGUGCGCGAUUCUCAAUUAUCAUGUUUUUAUUUUUGUAUGGUGGUUGUGGGCGAUGCAAUUUUAUUAAAUUUAAAUCUGUAUAAAAUUCAAAUUAUAUUAAAUUUAAAGUAUAUUAGUCCCAAAUAAAUAUUGUGGAUUAAUGUAAUUGAAUUAAUUAUUUAAGUCCAAAUAGGUAUGAAUUUAAAUAAGACACAAUAUUUAUUGGGUUAGUCCAAUAUUUAUUGGGUUAGUCCAUUAAUUUGGGCUACAAGUGAUGAGCCCACUUUACUAAGCCCACGAUAUUAUCAUAUUCUAGAGGCCCAAAUAAGCACCACGUGUCAAAUGACAUGGCAUGCCAAGUCAAGUGAAGGAGCCAAUAGGACCGUGUCACAUGUCAAACUGAUGCAGCAUGCCCAUGAAAUAAAAACCCAUAAAAUGCGCCACAUCACUUAAAUCUGAUUGGUCAAAGGAAGUCCAUAUUUAUCAUGACUCUUUCUUUCCUACAACUAUAAAUAGGGGACUCAUAAUUCAGAAAAAAAACCCCCAGAACUCUAACAAGUAGCAAUAGAAAGCUCAUGGAUCAAACACAAUAAUUUCUCUAAAAAGCUCAAGCAUUCAAAUCAAGUUCAUCAAGAUUCAAGAUCAAAACCGCAAUAUUCAAGAACAAGCUCAAAAGCCCUUGAAUUCAAGCACAAGUCAAGAUCAAGUCCCCCAAAUCAUUCAAAUCAAGUUCAAAUACAAGAUCAAGCUUUAAGCCCUUGAAUUUAUAUUUGAAAAGGCGAAUCAGAGGAUUCAUAGAGAUUGUAACACUCGCAUUGAAAUUAAUAAACUGAUUGUUGCAAUAUUUUUCUUGUCUUGAAUUAUUUAUUUUUCGCACUCGAGAAUUUUUAUUGUCCAAUAAAUUCUGGCAUGCCCAGUAGGACAAUCUCUACCUCUCAUCUCAACUUUUCAUACUUCUAAGUUUAAGAACAACGAAAUGACUUCCAAGAAGGUUAAUUCUCAAUCAACUGCUUCCAAGGCUGCAGAUUCAAAGUUCUCUGCUGAAGUAGAAAGCAUCCUUGGUGUUACUUUCAAAAGCCUGGGAGCUGUCACAAGAAGCAAGGCAGGCUUGCUAGGACAACAAACACAUCCAGUGUCGUCUGCUCCAGCUCCAGUUUUUGGAUCUUCAACCUCGAAAGGAACAAAAUUCAAUGCACGUAUUUCAGAAAGAGGAAGCAGUGUGGCCGAAUCGCUGAAAAAGACUUUAGAUCUACUUGAGCAUUUCGGUUCCAAAUACUCUGGAGCCAAGAGCGAUGGUCGUUCAACAAAUGUAUCAUCUCCACUUACACCACAUAAGCUAAGCAUUUUAAAAAUCAACUUAUGUGAUAAUUCGUGUUACUCUCCAACAUCUCCGGUGAUCAUGCAAGCAAUAGUAACUGAUGCCUUGUCUAUGGAGGAGCAGCUUGCAAAUCUGACAAAGGCAAUUGAAGGCCUGACCAACUAUGUUCAGAAUCAAGAGGCUAGGAUUGAUAAGAUAGUGGAUAGGGUAGAAGGCUUGAUAGACGGAGAAUCUAUCCAUGCACCGAGAAAAGCUCCAGAGGUUCAUGUGAUAGAAUACCCUGUAAAACAAACACCAUCGACUAAAGAGGUGCAAGUUUCUACUGAGGGAAUGAUCCCGAUUGGGCAAUUGAGGGAAUUUAUUAAAGGGACCCUCAAAGACAAGUAUGAUGUUGUCACCAAGUCUUCCCUUGCAUAUUUCAAGACUUACACUGCAAGAAUAGAUAGCCUCAAAGUGCUUGCUGGCUAUCAACCCCCCAAAUUUCAACAAUUUGAGGGCAAAGGUAACCUAAAACAAUAUGUCGCACACUUUGUCGAGAUAUGUAAUACUGUUGGAACUUACGAUGACUAUCUUGUCAAAUAGUUUGUUCGUUCUCCAAAGGGAAACGCCUUUGAUUGGUAUACAGAUCUCGAGCCUAAAUCCAUCGAUAGUUGGGAGCAAUUGGAACACAAGUUUCUAAAUCAGUUUUAUAGCACAAGGCAUACAGUGAGCAUGAUAGAGCUCACAAAUACUCAACAAAGAAAGGAUGAGCCAGUCAUCGACUUCAUCAAUCGAUGGAGAAAUGCGAGUUUAAACUGCAAAGAUAGGCUCAGUGAAGCUUCUGCAAUAGAGAUAUGCGUCCAAAGAAUGCACUGGGGGCUUCUCUACAUCUUGCAAGGAAUUAAACCAAAAUCCUUUAAUGAGUUAGCUACUCGUGCUCACGACAUAGAGUUGAGCAUGUCUUCUGCUGGAAAGGAAGGAGCGCCUAUUCAUGACCCUUGAAGGGGAAAGAUAAAGCAGGAACCCAAAAGAUGGGGCAAGUUUGUUCCCAAAAAUUAAAACGAAGAGUCCAUGAAUGUUUAUGUGUCUCCUGUGAAGGUCACCACAAAGGUGAGCAAGAAUCAAAGUGUAAAAAUGACUUCUGGAGCACGUCCAAAUCAGAAAACUUUAAAGGAGAUGCAAAAAAAAGAAAUAUCCCUUCCUUGAUUCUGAUGUUGUUGAGAUUUUCGAUGAACUCCUUGAGCAUAAGAUCAUUGAACUCCCAGAGAUAAAGCAUCCCAACGAAGCUGGAAGGAUCAAUGGCCCUAAUUAUUACAAAUAUCAUAGGCUUGUAAGUCAUCCUCUGGAAAAGUGCUUUGUCUUUAAAGAUAAAGUCAUGCAACUGGCAAAAGAGAAGAAGAUCUUCUUCGACGAUGAGACGGCUAAUUCUCAUCAAAUCUCUAUUACUUUUAGCUCGCUCGACCCAGUCCAUAUAUGUGUCGAAGAGCAUAAUGAGAAAAUAUUAGAGCCUAACAGGUCUUCAGUUGACGAAGGCAAUGAUUAAGGUUGGACUCUGGUGACGAGGCACAGACGCAGGAGGAUGAGUCUGCGAAAGGACGUCCAAGCAGCCAACCAGAAGGAGAAUGGUAAAGAAACUAAUAAAAGAGAAGUUGGUUGUAGUCCAAAAAAAUACGAGGGUAACAGAGUUGGUUGUAGUCCCAAAGAAUACGAGGGUAACAGAGCUUCACCACCAAAAACCUCGACGUCCGAUGACUUUAGAGGAAUUCUUACCGAGUUGGUUUCGUGUAAAGACUGCCGAGGAAUUCUUACCGAGUUGGUUUCGUGUAAAGACUGCCCAAGUCAACCUUGAGGCGUCUUGUUUUAAUACCGCCAAAGAGGGGGCAAAGGGUGACAAUCUACCCAUGAAGGUUCCUUCACCUUCUGAAAAGCUUGCUAAAACUCUUGGUGAAAAGGCACAUGUGUGUGAUACAAAAAUCACAUUCACAAAUAACGAUCUUCUGCUUGCUGAGGCCCUACAUAAACGUCCCUUAUACAUGAUGGGUCAAAUUCUAGGAAAGAAUAUCAAUAGAAUUUUGAUAGAUGAGGGAUCUGGAGUCAAUACGCUGCCUAUCCGUACGAUGAAGAGCUUGGCAUCGCUACUAGCGAACUGGACAAAAGCUGUAUAAUGAUCCAAGGCUUUAACCAAGGUGGCCAAAGGGCCAUGGGAUGUAUCAAGUUGGGAUUAGUAUGGAUGAUUUUCAAUCAAACCCAUUGAUGUAUGUGAUCGAUGCCAAAACUUCAUACAAUAUAUUGCUUGGUAGGCCUUGGGUGCACGGGAAAAAAAUUAUCUCAUCCUCUUACUAUCAAUGCUUGAAGUGCCUCAAAAAUAAAGUGGAAAGAAUGAUAGUCGUCGAUGACAAGCCAUUCACUGAAGCAGAGUCACAUCUUGCCAAUGCAAAAUUCUACUUAAAGAAUCAUGUUGUAAAAGAGAAGAAGAUUGAAGAUGUUACCAAGACCAAGUGUGAAGAUCUUACUUCUAAGAAGGUCGUGGUGACUAUUGAAAAAUUCACCAACAGAAAGCCCUUCUUCACUUCGAAAUAAGAAAGCGUCGCUCCUACGAAAAAAAAGGCAGCUCUUGUUCUUCGCUACGUGCCAAAGGUAAUGAAAGAGGAAGAUCACUCACCUGAUGCCCAAGAUAAUGUGAUAAAGGGGCUAACUUUAUCUAUCAGGAAGAUUGACGCAAUAAAUCCAUCCUCAAGGCUACUUGGAGAAUCUGUGGCUCAAAAUCUGCCACCAGACAUGGAACUCCCUCCGAAGCGUACAAAAGAGGGCUUUGAUCCAAAUGCAUACAAGCUAUUUGUAAAGGCUGGAUACAAUCUUAAUGAGCCAUCAAGGUUGGGAAAACUUCCAUUGGAGGGUAACACCAGGCAAGCACGUGAAGGACUAGGAUACGCGUAACCACCUCUAAUUUGCAUCUCCAUAAGAAGGGCAGUCAGUAAUUACAUCACCGUGGAAGAAGAAUCCACUGCCGCUAAUAAAAAACCCUCCGUAUUUGAUCGGCCUGGAGAAUCAACCGCAAGAACUUUUGUGUUCGAAAGGUUGGGUCCUAUAAAUAAGAAGAAAAAUAACAAGCGUCAAAGAAGUCGUCAAAGCACAAUGCUGCACUCUUUAUUUAAAAUCUAGAAAGAUUUCUAAAGUUUGAUUCCUUCUAGAAUGAAGCGACAGAUGGAACUGAUAGUUUUAUGCAAUGAGGUGUUAAAAGCAAAAGCGCAUAGUGUGGUUUAUACCAAGCAACGCAAAGAAGAUGAAGAGUGUGUUGGCUCCUCAUAUCAUAUUACGACUCAAAACGAGAAAGAUGUCUUAUCUCAAAUGAAGGUUGAUGAAGAGAUAGAAGAUGCCUUUAGGUGUUAUCAUAUAUUCGUCAAUGACGAUGAUCCUCAAGAGGAAGAAGAUGCUGGAGAUGCUCUAUCAUAACUUAAAGAAGGAGUAAAGGCCACAAUAGACCCUUGAAGGAAGUUAAUCUUGGAACCAAUGAAGAACCAAGACCAACUUACCUGAGUGUGUUUCUAUAAGUAGAGAAAGAAAUCACUUAUAUGGACAUACUCAAAGAAUAUAUGGAUGUCUUUGCCUGGAGCUAUAAGGAAAUGCCUAGAUUAGAUCCAAAAGUAGCGGUCCAUCAGUUGGCAGUCAAGAAUGGUGCCCGUCCUGUUAAGCAAGACCAAAGACGCUUUAGGCCAGAGUUGCUUCUACUGAUCGAAAAUAAAGUUAACAAACUCAUUGAAGAUGGCUUUAUUCGUGAAGUCAAAUAUCCCACGUGGAUCUCAAGUAUUGUUCUAGUACGGAAAAAGAAUGGCCAAAUUUAAGUUUGUGUCAACUUUCAAGAUCUCAACAACGCAUGCCCUAAGGAUGAUUUUCCAAUCCCCAUACCGUAGUUAAUGAUUGAUGCCACUACUGGUUAUGAGGCAAUGUUCUUCAUGGAUGGUUCAUCCGGCUACAAUCAAAUCUGUAUGGCGCCAAAGGAUGAAGAACUCACUGCGUUUCGUAUGCCCAAAGGUAUAUAUUGCUACAAGGUGAUGCCUUUUGGUUUGAAGAACGCUGGCGCCACUUAUCAAAGGGCUAUGCAGAACAUCUUUGACGUCCUGCUCCAUUAAAAUGUUGAAUUUUAUGUGGAUGAUCUAGUGGUGAAGUCAAGAAAAAGAGACGACCACUUAAAAGACUUAAGAUGGUAUUCGAGUUACUUCGAAGGUAUAAACUUAGGAUGAUUCCAUUGAAGUGUGCCUUUGGAGUUACUUCAGAAAAAUUUCUUGGCUUUAUUGUACGACACCGAAGAAUUGAAAUUGAUCAAGCUAAGGUUGAUGUAAUUUUGAAGAUGCCCGAGCCUCGAGAUAUUCAUGAGUUAAAAAGCCUUCAAGGAAGGCUAGCAUAUUUAAGGAGGUUCAUCUCAAACCUGGUUGGAAAAUGUCAACCAUUUAGUCACCUCAUGAAGAAGAACACUCCCUUCAAAUGGGACCAAGCUUGUAGUAAUGCCUUUGAGAGUGUCAAAUCAUACUUAAUGAAGCCAUCAGUUCUUGCGGCACAAGAGAGGUCAGUUGGAGCAAUACUGGCUCAAGAAAAUAGUAAAGGCAAGGAAAAUUCUCUUUACUAUUUAAGCAGAAUGAUGACGCCGAAUAAGCUAAAGUAUUCUUCGAUUGAGAAGUUAUGUUUGGCAUUAGCCUUCUCGAUUCAAAAGAUAAAGCACUACUUUGAGGCUCAUGUUAUCCGACUUAUCUCUAGGUCAAAUUCCAUCAAGUUUGUAAUGUCGAAACCAGUCCUUAGUGACCAACUUGAAAGAUGGUACCUUCAAUUUCAACAGUCUGAGAUUGUGUAUGUUCCCCAAAAAGCUAUAAAAGAACAAGCAUUGGCUGACUUCUUGGAAGAUCACCCAAUACUUGAUGACUGAGAGCUGAGCGAAGAACUCCCUGAUGAAGAUACAAUGGCUUUUGAAGUUAGAUCCCUAUGGAAGAUGUAUUUUGAUGGUGAUGCACACAGAGAUGGAGCUGGUGUUAGCGUAGUCUUUGUCACUCCACAAGAAGAGGUCAUCCCCUACUCUUUUACCUUGAUGAAUCGUUGCUCCAAUAAUGUUGUUGAGUAUCAAGCGCUCAUACUCGGACUAGAGAUGGCUACUGAUAUGAAGCAAUUGCAAUUACAAGUUUUUGGCGACUCCCAAUUGGUGAUAAAGCAGCUGUUGGGAAGCUAUGAAGUUCAGAAGCCUGAGUUAAGACCAUAUCAUGAAUAUGCAUGAAAGUUGAUAGGAUGGCUUGGAGAAGUAACCCUAUAGUAUCUGCCAAGAAAGGAAAAUAAGCAAGCUGAUGCCCUAGCUACUUUGGCCUCAACCCUGACCUUUCCAAAUCAAACACAAGUUACUGUCCGCCAAGAAUGGGUAGUACCCCCAUCAAACAAUGAUGAAGAAGAUAUAGUUAAAUACAUCAUUGUAGUAUCUGAAACUGAAAAAGAAGAUUGGAGACAACUUAUCAUUGAUUACUUAUGUUAUGGGAUACUUCCAGAAGAUCUAAGGAGAAAUACUGACAUUCAUCAUCGUGCACCUCGCUUCCUUUACUACAAAGACACACUGUACAGAAGAUCAUUUGAAGGAGUACUCUUAUGGUGUUUAGGAGAGGAAGAAGCAAUUCAAGCUUUGUAAGAAGUGCACUUGGGAGUUUGUGGAUCACAUCAGUCUGGACCGAAGCUCCAUUUUCACAUUAAAAGGAUGGGAUAUUACUGGCUAACAAUGGUGAAAGAUUGCUUGGACUAUGCUAGAAAAUGCAAAGCUUGUCAAUUCCAUGCAAAUUUCAUACAUCAACCUCCAGAGGUUCUACACCCAAUUGUAGCGUCUUAGCCAUUCAAUGCUUGGGGAAUGGAUAUUUUUAGUCCACUUCCAAAAUAUUCUGGUGGACACUUAUACAUCUUGGCUGCGAUAGAUUACUUCUCAAAGUGGGCCGAAGCUAUUUCUCUCAAUGAAGUAAAGAAAGAAAAUUUUGCGAACUUCAUCCGAGUAAAUAUCGUCUACUGCUUUGGAAUUCCUCAAUACAUAAUAACUGAAAUGGAAAGCCAUUUGAUAUCAAGCUGAUGAACAAAAUAUGUGACCUCUUUGGUUUCAAGAAACGUAAAUUUUCUAUGUACCAUGCUGCCGCCAAUGGUCUAGUCGAAGCAUUCAAUAAGACUUUAUGCAACUUGUUGAAGAAAGUCGUCUCCAAAUCCAAACGAGACUGGCAUGAACGGAUGGAAUAAGCUUUGUGGGCGUAUAGGACAACUUACCAUACACCGACGCAAGCAACCCCAUACUCACUUGCUUUUGGAGUUGAAACAGUUUUGCCACUUGAGCGUCUAAUACCUUCUUUAAGACUGACCAUUCAAGAAGGGCUCACUGAUGAAGAAAAUGUUGAGUUGCGUCUUGCGAAAUUAGAAGCUCUAGACGAGAAGAGGCUGGAGCCUCAACAAAAUCUUGAAUGCUAUCAAUCUCGGCUAUCUUGUUCUUUCAACAAAAGGGUUCACUUGAGAUGCUUCCAAGUUGGAGAUCAAGUUUUUGUAGUAAGAAGGCCCAUUAUCACUUCUCGUAAGUCUGGGGGCAAAUUCACCCCAAAGUGGGAUGGACUAUAUGUCAUACAAGAGGCAUAUUCAAAUGGUGCUUACAAGCUUGUCGAUGUGGAUAGCGUGAGGGUUGGCCCCAUCAACGCCAAGUUAUUAAAGAAGUACUAUCCUUGAAGAAAGAUGACACUCCUUAAGGUACGAGUAUAAACUGCAUGUAUACUCCUUGAGGCACGAGUAUAAACUGCAGCUCCAUUCCUGGCCCGCAAAAGUAUAAACUGUGUAUGGCUCAAAAAGAAAAUGAAAGUUCGCUAGGUUGAAUUGAAAGAGGCGACCUAGGAAAAAGUUAGGACACAAAAAAAAAACACUCACCCAGAACUACAUUAUGACUUGAUCCUCUUUAUUGAGGUACGUAGGCGCUUGGAAUUUCAUUCUGAGUUUAGUUGCACGAGUGUCAAAAAAAAUAUGUCCAUACAGUAUCUACCAUAUGGAUACCAAGUAUGAAACUAUUCUAAUUAAAUUUUGGACUUACUCUAAAUAUUUGUGACUCAAUGGAGGCAACCCGUCGAAAGGAAAGAGAGUUCCUUCAAUGAGAUUUAGAAUGCCAAAGUUCUCCAAGCCUACAACUAAAAGGAUCUCAAAAUUUACAUGUCUUAAAGUGGACAAGAUUUUUUCGUUUUCACCUUAAGUGGGCCUCUAACGAUUUUAUCCUUAAAGGAUAUUAAAAUUUUCAUGCCUUAAGGUGGACAAGAUUUGUCCGUUUGUACCUUAAGCUGACCUUUUACGGGUUUAUCCUUAAAGGAUAUCAAAAUUUUCAUGCCUUAAGGUGGACAAGAUUUGUCCCUUUGCACCUUAAGUUGGCCUAUCGCGGGUUUAUCCUUAAAAGGAUCUCAAAAGUUCCAUGCCUUAAGGUGGACAAAAUUUGUCACUUUGCACCUUAAGCUAGCCUCUCGCGGGUUUAUCCUUAAGAGGAUCUCAAGAUUUUAAUGCCUUAAGGUGGACAAAAUUUGUCCCUUUGCACCUUAAGCUGGCCUCUCGCGGGUUUAUCCUUAAGAGGAUCUCAAGAUUUUAAUGCCUUAAGGUGGACAAAAUUUAUCCCUUUGCACCUUAAGCUGGCCUCUUACAUGUUUAUCCUUAAAAUGAUAUAAAAAUUUUCAUGCCUUAAGGUGGACGAAAUGUCCCUUUUCACCUUAAACUGGCAUCUUACGUGUUUAUCCUUAAAAGGAUAUAAAAAAUUUUCAUGUCUUAAGGUGGACAAAAUUUGUCUCUUUGCACCUUAAGCCGGUCUCUCGCGGGUUUAUAAAAUUUUCAUGCCUUAAGAUGGAUAAAAAUUUGUCCCUUUACACCUUAAGCUAACCAUUGGAAAGGGCCCAUACUUAACGAAUACCAUUGCAUAAGUGCAUCAAGUGAAAGGACCCAUACUUAAAGAAAACCAUUGCAUAAGUGCAUCGAUGAAAGAGCCUAUACUUAGAGAAGAUCAUCGAAUAAAUGUAUCGGUGAAAGGAUCCAUACUUAAAGAAAACCAUGCCGUCUUCAGGCAAAGUCUUUCGAUCUUAAGGUGAUAGAGGUGAAAUUGAACUCUUUCCACCUUAAACCGAUCAAUUGUUCCAUAUUACUACCUGUUUCAACUAAAAAAAAAAGGAGCAAAAUAAAGAGAAUAAGAUAACACGAAGUUAAAAGAAAUACCUUGUUGAUUCAAAUCGGCCCAAGCUGCUAUUGAUAUUGUGCCAGUUCGUGCAGGUACAAGAAAAAAAUACCAUGAUUAUGGGUAUUUAUAGAUACGUUAAGGCGGUUGGGGUUUUCUAAUCCGUGGUAAACUCAAACUUCAUGAGAAUCCUAAUGCGACAAGAAUAAGUAAUAGUUGAUUCCUAGGAUUAGAUAGUGAAAGAAACGUGUCACACGGAAAAGUAAACUGGCCAAUGGUUAUUCCAAUUCAAAUAUGGAAUAUGAGUUACUGAUUGUCAAAUUAAAAUGGAAUUCAAAUCCAAAAAUGUACUGCAAAUGGGUGAAUUAAAUAUUACAAUGUAAUGAUUUGUCACCAUUCCAUCAUGUUAUCAUGUAGCAUGCCUAAAUCGUCCUUGUUCCCCCAACGUGCAUGUAUUGGUCACUUAAUUUUCAAUUAAAUUAAAAUUGAAUACUUCAAGACGACUUAUUUAAAUAUCUCGAUAAGUUUUGAAGUAGGGGACAUUUGUGGGCGAUGUAAUUUUAUUAAAAAUUUAGAUUAUAUUAAAUUCAAAGUAUAUUAGUCCCAAAUAAAUAUUGUGGAUUAAUUUAAUUAAAUUAAUUAUUUAAGUCCAAAUAGAUAUGGAUUUAAAUAAGGCCCAAUAUUUAUUGGAUUAGUCCAUUAAUUUGAGCUACAAGUGAUGAGCCCACUUUACUAAGUCCAAGAUAUUGUCAUAUUCUAGAGGCCCAAAUAAGCACCACGUGUCAAAUGACAUGGCAUGCCAAGUCAAGUGAAGGAGCCAAUAGGACUGUGCCACAUGUCAAACUGAUGCAGCAGACCCAUGAAAUAAAAGCCCAUAAAAGGCGCCACAUCACUUAAAUCUGAUUGGUCAAAGAAAGUCCAUAUUCAUCAUGACUUUUCCUUUCCUACAACUAUAAAUAGGGGACUCAUAAUUCAGAAAAAAAACUCCAGAACUCUAACAAGUAGCAAGAAAAAGGUCGUGGAUCAAACACAAUAAUUUCUCUAAAAAGCUCAAGCAUUCAAAUCAAGUUCAUCAAGAUUCAAGAUCAAGACCGCAAUAUUCAAGAAUAAGCUCAAAAGCCCUUGAAUUCAAGUAUAAGUCAAGAUCAAGUCCCCCAAAUCAUUCAAAUCAAGUUCAUAUUCAAGAUCAAGCUUUAAGCCCUUGAAUUUAUAUUUGAAAAGGCGAAUCAGAGGAUUCGUAGAGAUUGUAACACUCGCAUUGAAAUUAAUAAACUGAUUGUUGCAAUAUUUUUCUUGUCUUGAAUUAUUUAUUUUUUGCACUCGAGAAUUUUAUUGUUCAACAGUGGUGUAAUUAAGUUGUAAGAUUGAGUUGAUGACCUUGAGGUGCUUGGUAACUGAUAUCCAUUGUUUUGUGUAUACAUUUAAUUCAAAAUUGCCAUAAUUGUCAGCUUAAAAUAUUCAAUUUUUUUUCCUAAAUUUUUUUGUCAUGUUCACUAUUUAUUGGAUAAUUUUUUCAAGAAGGAAUCAUCUGUUCAAGUUUAAGUACUGGGUUUGGAUUAAUUGAAUAAAGCUCUACUUCAAAGUGAUGAUUAAGUUGUAAUUGAUAUUAUUUUUUUUUUUUAUCAAUGUUACUGAAUAAAGAACGUAUGGAGCAACGAUGAAGUUGUAUCCAUCUAACCUAUGGAUCAUGAAAAUUCUUAAGGGCAAAUAGUAAUUUCACACUAAUAAAAAUUACUCUUUUCACUGCUUUAGAACCAUCCAUCUUCUUCCUUUAGCUCUUUCAUACAAUAUUUAAACCCUAUAAUUACAUAACUCCUCAUUGGACCUAUGCAUGUCGUCCUUGAUCAAUUCCUU